ACAUUGAAACACCGAUUCCCAUACAAUCACUGAAGUUAAGCCACAUCAAGCCUGGUCAGUGCCUAGUUGGGUGACUACUUGGGAAUAUCAGGUGCUGUAA
RNAcentral lists this ribosomal RNA (100 nucleotides) under Acanthosepion pharaonis. Lineage: Eukaryota; Metazoa; Mollusca; Cephalopoda; Sepiida; Sepiidae. The record is from RNAcentral.